UAUAACGAUAACGAAUCAACACGUAUUGCUUCUCCUCGUAAAGCAAAUUUUAAACAAAAACUAAAGAAUAGAAAAAGUACAACGUCCAUUGAAUCCAUAGAUAUGUCAGAAAAUGAAGAUUUUCCUAAAUGCGUCAAACGAAAGAUAAGACAAGAGAAUAAAACGCGAUGGCCAAGUAGAACGUCAAUUAACGAGUAAUAAAAGUAUUUAAUAUUUCGCAAAUUCAUGUGUUACAUAUGUCGAUAAAACAUAACAAACGUAUAAAUAAAUUAUGGAGGUAUAAAAAUUUAUAGACGUAAUGGUGUGUCUGUAGCAUUUAUUAUUUGCGACUUUUCGAGGCUACGAUACAUAUACAUACAUAUAUAUUUAUAUCUAUAUGUAUUUUUUAUAUACGUGUAUAUAUAUAUAUAUA
Long non-coding RNA from Vespa mandarinia (Asian giant hornet), 412 nucleotides. Lineage: Eukaryota; Metazoa; Arthropoda; Insecta; Hymenoptera; Vespidae. The record is from RefSeq and is a predicted model, not a curated record.